GCGAGGGUGGCGGAACUGGCAGACGCGCUAGACUUAGGAUCUAGUACCGCAAGGUGUGGGGGUUCGACUCCCCCCUCUCGCA
RNAcentral lists this transfer RNA (82 nucleotides) under Candidatus Scalindua japonica. It matches the Rfam family "tRNA". From Rfam's summary of the family: Transfer RNA (tRNA) molecules are approximately 80 nucleotides in length. Lineage: Bacteria; Pseudomonadati; Planctomycetota; Candidatus Brocadiia; Candidatus Brocadiales; Candidatus Scalinduaceae. RNAcentral also lists the same sequence under 1 other name. The record is from Rfam by way of RNAcentral.